RNAcentral lists this ribosomal RNA (497 nucleotides) under uncultured bacterium. RNAcentral describes it as "partial 16S ribosomal RNA". It matches the Rfam family "Bacterial small subunit ribosomal RNA", at positions 28 to 507 of the family's 1533-position model. The record is from RNAcentral.
GAUGAACGCUGGCGGCGUGCCUAAUACAUGCAAGUCGAGCGAACGGACGAGAAGCUUGCUUCUCUGAUGUUAGCGGCGGACGGGUGAGUAACACGUGGAUAACCUACCUAUAAGACUGGGAUAACUUCGGGAAACCGGAGCUAAUACCGGAUAAUAUUUUGAACCGCAUGGUUCAAAAGUGAAAGACGGUCUUUCUGUCACUUAUAGAUGGAUCCGCGCUGCAUUAGCUAGUUGGUAAGGUAACGGCUUACCAAGGCAACGAUGCAUAGCCGACCUGUGAGGGGGAUCGGCCACACUGGAAGUGAGACACGGUCCAGACUCCUACGGGAGGCAGCAGUAGGGAAUCUUCCGCAAUGGGCGAAAGCCUGACGGAGCAGCGCCGCGUGAGUGAUGAAGGUCUUCGGAUCGUAAAACUCUGUUAUUAGGGAAGAACAUAUGUGUAAGUAACUGUGCACAUCUUGACGGUACCUAAUCAGAAAGCCACGGCUAACUACGUG